UCGUCCCAACAUAGUGACUGGAAAAGUCUUUGGAAAACUCAUGCUCCCCCAAAGGCCAAACAUCUCCUAUGGCGUAUUUGCAAAGGAUGCUUGUCAACACGUAUUCAGCUACAAGAAAGCAAUGAGGAUGAUUGGCAUAUUCUAUUUGAUUGCAUUGACAACAUACACGCAAGACAAGCUGCGGGUCUGGACCAUGUUAUCAUGCUUGGCUACAGCAGUUCAGCAGCGUUUCUGAGGUAAUCUGAGAGGUUAUUUCAGCCGAGAAUAAGCAGACACAGCAGGAGUUCUUGCAAUGUUACUGUGGGUGCUAUGGAAUAAUCGGAAUAAUAGUGUUUGGAAUGAUUCAAAGGAGCAGGGAAGAAGCUUAAGGAUUAAAGCAAGGCUGCUAUGGGAGGAAUGGAAUUCUGUACACCAGAUGCAGUGUGACAACCAGCCAGCAGAAC
This 443-nucleotide long non-coding RNA is filed under the name Trifolium pratense (red clover). RNAcentral describes it as "long non-coding RNA (TPRA_LNC009106)". Lineage: Eukaryota; Viridiplantae; Streptophyta; Magnoliopsida; Fabales; Fabaceae. The record is from RNAcentral.